GUCAUCGUUGUCUGAUUAAAAUGUAGAAAUGGAAGCUGAUGUGUUUUUAUGUGUCCGUAUGUAAUCGCCUCCAUCCAUGCUACGAGAGCUAUUCCCCUAGUCUGUAAUAUGGUGGGGACCCUACACAAUCGUGAAUAAUGAUUUAUACAUAUUUUGGAUUUUGUUUUUCAAUGGAUUUUGGAUAUUUUUACUUGUGAAGUUGAUCGACUGUUCCUGAUGGAUCCUGACAUACCGCCAUGAUACUGGACACUUUAAUUGUUUUGAAAAUUUACAGCUUAACGUUUAUUAUAGUAUUUAUUACUAUUGUACCAACAUUUAAAUUCAUUUUUUGAAAGAAGAAGAACAGACCAUGUCUCGUCUCGUGUAC
Molecule: long non-coding RNA, 367 nt
Filed under: Mytilus galloprovincialis (Mediterranean mussel)
Lineage: Eukaryota; Metazoa; Mollusca; Bivalvia; Mytilida; Mytilidae
Source: RNAcentral